RNAcentral lists this unclassified non-coding RNA (260 nucleotides) under Hevea brasiliensis (rubber tree). The record is from RNAcentral. Lineage: Eukaryota; Viridiplantae; Streptophyta; Magnoliopsida; Malpighiales; Euphorbiaceae.
UCUCAAUUUUGAUGGUGUUUUCGCCCAGUAUUCUUACCCGAAAAGGUCCACAGGAAGUACAAAUUGGAGCACUAUUUUCACUCAACCGGAAAAUAUUUGUACUGCAAUUAAUGGAACUUUGGGUAGUGGAGCUUGCGGAUACAACAGCAUCUGUAGCCUUAAUGAUAAGCAAAGGCCAGCCUGUACCUGCCCGCAGGGGUUUUCCCUGCUUGAUUCGAACGAUGAGCAUGGAAACUGCAAACCAGAUUCUGAAGUAGGCG